CGCCUUGCCAGCCCGCUCAGAACUCAAAGGAAUUGACGGGGGCCCGCACAAGCGGUGGAGCAUGUGGUUUAAUUCGAUGAUACGCGAGGAACCUUACCUGGGCUCAAAUGUAUGUUGACGUAUUCUGAAAGGGAUACUUCUUCGGACAAUAUACAAGGUGCUGCAUGGUUGUCGUCAGCUCGUGCCGUGAGGUGUCGGGUUAAGUCCCAUAACGAGCGCAACCCCUAUCAUUAGUUGCCAUCAGGUCAAGCUGGGGACUCUAAUGAAACUGCCUACGCAAGUAGUGAGGAAGGUGGGGAUGACGUCAAAUCAGCACGGCCCUUACGUCCAGGGCUACACACGUGCUACAAUGGCCGGUACAAAGGGCAGCUACCUGGUGACAGGAUGCUAAUCUCAAAAGCCGGUCUCAGUUCGGAUCGGAGUCUGCAACCCGACUCCGUGAAGUCGGAAUCGCUAGUAAUCGUGAAUCAGAAUGUCACGGUGAAUACGUUCCCGGGCCUU
Molecule: ribosomal RNA, 501 nt
Filed under: uncultured Sphingobacteriales bacterium
Lineage: Bacteria; Pseudomonadati; Bacteroidota; Sphingobacteriia; Sphingobacteriales
Description: bacterial SSU rRNA
Rfam family: Bacterial small subunit ribosomal RNA
Source: RNAcentral